AUACUGAUAAGCGAAGGGGUUUCUUUGUGGCGUUUGGUAGGAACACACAAAGAGCCCCGGAGGACAAAGAGCUCUUAUCAGUGGAUGCUCCGCGCCGCUCCCAUUGUUCGUUUCGCUUUCAGUUCACUUAUU
This is a small nucleolar RNA of Caenorhabditis elegans, 132 nucleotides long. NCBI's taxonomy places the organism in Eukaryota, Metazoa, Nematoda, Chromadorea, Rhabditida, Rhabditidae. The record is from Ensembl.